This 66-nucleotide transfer RNA is filed under the name Sambus kanssuensis. RNAcentral's name for it is "tRNA-Asn". Lineage: Eukaryota; Metazoa; Arthropoda; Insecta; Coleoptera; Buprestidae. The record is from RNAcentral.
UUAGCUGAAACCAAAGUAGAGGUUUACCACUGUUAAUGGUAUCAUUAAGAACAAUCUUCAGUUAAA